GUAAUUUAAUCGAACAUAAGUACAGUUAUAUUAUUAUUUCUUACUUACUUAUUAUAAAAUGUGCAGAAGACGCCAAUUAAUAAUAAAUAACGCUUAUGAUUUUAUAACUACACUUUCAACGUUUCCAAGAAGAAAACUUUUGGAAGUCCAUGUUGGACCACUUUAAGAAUGUUUUUAAGUCACCUGCUACAUGCGCUCUUUUGGACAUCAUUUUUUAGUUUUAUUUAAAUACUCUGUACAAAGUUAUCAAAAAGAACACAUUCAGAGAACUUACAUAGAUAACAUUUUAAAGAUAAGUUAUAGAGUUCUCUAAAAAUUUGUCUAUAAUAAGUUAACUAUGGAGUUCUCUAAAAGUUGUCAAUAUGAUAACAAUUUUAAUACCGAAUGAGUCCAGACGUCAAUUGCUGACAAAUUGAAAGCUUUCAGACAACUUUAAAGAUAACCUUAAAAAGAUACGAUGUAGAGAUCUCUAAAAGUUCGCUGGUGCUUAUUGGGUCGUUUAUUUGAAUACGAAAUCCUAAUUUAUUAAAAUACAGCAUCAACUAUUAGGUAAAUUAUUUAUUUAGUUCAAAUGUUCUGAAUUUAUAACCUACAAAGCGUUUAUUGAAAUAUAAAGAUUUGAAAAAUAUCUUCUUAAUGAUUCAGUCCGAACAAAUCAUUUCUUCUUUCAGCAAAAUCUUUGAUAGUUCUUAUAAAAUAUUAUCUUAUUUGACGUCUAUAUUAUUUCCUUAUAUCACUUGAAGAAAAAAAUAUUUUCAACAAUAAUUUACUUAUAGGUAAAAAAAACACAAAUUCAAAUAAUAAUUUUUAUAGCACUGGGUGACUUAAAUGCGGAUUUAAGGCAUGCAAAUCCAUGGCGUAAGUAGCUCUUUCUGGAACUGUCUACGCUCGUGCGCUAACCUCCCGCUGCCAGAAAGGGCUACUUACGCCACGAAUUGCGUGACUUGGCAGAUUUAAUCAAGCAGUGCUAUAAAAUAUUGUACGAUACUCGAGUCGUAUGUUCACUUUCCAGCACGGCGUAACCUCGCCGUGCCAGAAUGUGCCUCAUACGACGCGACACUUGUAUCGUAAUGUACUAUGGGUAACUGAAACUAAAGAAAUCGCUUCCGCGCAUACAAAAGUUAUAUGAAAUAUGACUAUUUCAUUUUUUUCAGCGUCAUUGGUGCAACGAUUAAAUCAAAUUUGGGAUGCAAGGUAAUGUCAUUUUUCCGCUCAUUGGAUAGCUAUAUUGUUGAGAUCAUUUAUUACUUAUUUAAUUCAUAAUUAACUAUACAUACUUGAUAAUUAUAUAGCUAAUUUCGAUAAUAUUAAUAAAAAGUUCAUACAAUAAGUUUUCCGGGUUUCGCCGCGAAAUCAAAAAUGAUAUUUUCGCAUGACGCAUUCAAACGCGGCUCGGUUCCCGCCGUCCCGCCGCUGCGCGCGGAGAGAGCGGCGGCGGCCAUGUCGUCUGCUCACACCCUCCCCUGACUCUACACCAAGCAAAUUUCUUUUUCAUUAAUUAUUUCGGAACUUUGCGCUCAUCGGAAUUGAUUAAAAAAUCGUUUCCAAUGCAAAAUUUAACGCUUUUUUCAUUGAUGCUAGCCAUUUUCUCAUAGAAUCAUCGAAACGAAAAGGCCCUGGGCACCAUGAGGAGCUUGGCAGGAUGCCACACGAACUAGUGCAUUUCAGCCUUACAAGCCUCCUACGCUGUUGACAAAUUUACAAAGACGUAACACUCAAACUAAAAUUCUUUACCUUAUGGAGGUGGAGAUGUGACUUUUUAUACAUUAACGGAUCAGGGUGAACUUACAGCUGACAAUAUUCAUGCAGCAACUGUAGAUACACCGGAUGAAAAUGGUCUUACUGGACUUAUGUGGGCAGCUGGUUAUGGCCAAUUAAAUAGUGCAACACUUCUACUAAAGAAUGGGGCAGAUAAAAACUACAAAGGAUCUCAUGGUCAAUCGCAUUUGCAUCUAGCUGCAGCUUAUGGACAUCAUGAUGUUGUAAAAUUGCUCUUGAAUUAUGGUGCUGAUUCUAAUACAAGUAAAGAUGAGGGAAACACACCUUUGAUUUAUGGAGCGCAAGGUGAUCAUCCACAUGUUUGUUAUGAACUUUUGACAAGAGGUGCGGAUAUAACAAUGACUAAUGCCAAUGGACUUAAUGCUUACAAAGCCGCUAUACUCAAAAAUACAUCAACAGCUAAAGCAGUAUUUGAAAAUUUUCUUGUACAAAAAAUUGUAAACUUAUCAUCAGAGAUAUUUUAGUAAUAAAUAAUGUAAAUACAUAUAGUAAUAUCUUUCGACAAUUGAACCAAUAUAUGGAUAGCUUUGGAUAUGAAUGUUAAUACUCCAAGAUGCAAAACAAAUAUUUUGUUGAUAUUGUCUUAUCACUGUCCUUAUUUAAUAUUCUAGUCAACUUUCAACAUCAUGUAGUUGGAACUUCUUGUGACGGUUUUGAAGGAUUAUGAUAGACUAGCCAUAUGGCCUCUUGUAAUGCUCUCAAACAAGCAAUAUUGGCUCCAAAUCCACCAGCCUUUUCUACUUCAGUCUCUUUUCUAACAUUAAAAAUAUAGCCCCGUGUCUGCACCUCUCUUAAUCCUGGAGGAGUUGGUCCUUCGAUUUCUUGAGUGAUAGGAACAUACUGAUAAGUGGGACCCUCAUCCAUUUUAGGUAAUUGAACAAAACCUGUACUAUUCUGUUGUCCAAACUUAAUGCCUGUACUGAAGCUAGUUGCCUUAUUAGGUGCUAGAUUAAAAUAUAGUUGUGAACAUUUUUUUGUCCUUACGCUGUAACUUUUGAAUAUCAAUUUCUGUAAAAAUUAGUAAAGCUAGAUUCAACUGUAAUUAUCUUUUACUUUAUGGGUUGUUCUUUUUGGCAACAUAUAUUUCAAACAAAAAAUAAGUUAAUUAAUUAAAUAAAAUAAGUAGUACAAUGUUUUUGAACAAAUAUUUUUUAUUGUGUAUAUAUAGUAUAAUUAAUAAUUUUAUAAUAAGGGUACAGAUAAAACUGGAGGUCUUAGAGUUUUAAGAAUUUUUACAAUUUUAACUUUUCCAGACAUAUGAGCCAUAAUGUGCUUUUCCAAAUAUUUUUUGUUAACGUAUGUUCUCUUACAAUAAUUACAUGUGUAAACAUUUUUAGGAUGUUGUGAGUUUACAUGUUUUCCAAAACAUCUUUUCUAACAAAAGUUUUAUUACAGAUAUGACAUGUAAAGUUACAUAGAUCAGUAUGUGUCAAUCUAUGAGUUUGUAGAUGUUGAUUUUGGGAGAACUUCUUAUUACACUCAUUACAACUGUAAUUUUUCAAACCUUUAUGUAUACUUUGAUGUACUUUUAAUUGCCCAUUUGUUUUGAAACUUUUUUCGCAUAUUAAGCAUUUAAAAGCUUUCACAGUAUCAUGGAUCUUGAUAUGCACAUUUAAAUUUCCCAUUUGAGUAAAACUUUUUUUACAUAUAGUGCAUAUAUGUGGUUUAUUUUUUGAGUGUAUUCUUUCAUGUAUUAUUAAAUCUCUCUUUCUUUUAAAAGUUUUUUCACAAGAAACACAUGUGUACAGAACAUUUUCAGAAUUUUAUCGUUUUCCAUAUUUAAACAAUAUUCUUCAUGCAGGUUACUUGAUUUUCAAAAUAAAAAUUUUAUUUAAAUCUGUUCCAGAUUGAUUCGUGUAUCAUACUGCCUACAAAGUUAAUUAUAUUUUAGGGUUAGGGUUAUACUUAUUUCGUACAAAUUAUUAUUCUAUUUUAUUAAUAUACGUGACUUACCUUUAUUUUACAACGUCUAACAUUUGUUAAAAAAUGUUAUAAAUUUUUUAGAGCUACAUAAAUAGCCGUAUAGUUGAAGAAAUAUAUGAGAAAGCAAUCCCGUGCGCCGUUGAUGACAGAAACUUAUGGGAAAGCAAUCCCGCGCGCGGCUCACGACAGAAAUUUAUGAGAAAGCAAUCCAUGCGCGAUUUGGAUGCGCAGUUGCAUUUUUUUGGACUCGCAUAUGUAACCGCGUAUAAAGAAGUAUACGUGACGUAUCUGAGCGUGAGAACAACAAACAAUCAACGUGUUUAUGUUGAUAACAAAAAAGCUUGUAGAGUAUACAUGGUUUGGAGUUAACAGCUUAUUAAGGAAGAAUAAAAGAUUUUCAAGAGUACAUAGCUUACAUGGCUUGGAGCCAAUAACUUUAAUAAGGGAGAGAGAAAAGAGCACCUGGCAAAUAACAUGCAACUUCAUUUUUACUUUCUACAACAUUCCACCUGUUGAUUUCCAAUUAUUCGGUGCAAGUCAACGUUCAUUUUAGCAAAAACAGCUAAAAUUUGGAUUGAAGAAUAACGGUACUCUCUAUGUCCUACAAAAUACAAAAUUGUAAGGUUUUCUGUCUUUGAAUAAAGCUAAUGACUAUAAUAUUAAUGAAGUGUGAUAUUUAACAUCCUAAGUAAUUAUAACUGAUUAUUGCAGUUUAGUGAAAUUUGUUAUUAUGACUGAUCAUAGUAUUACUGAACUUUGAUAAAAUUACUGUAAUAAUUGUCACAAUGUAACAAUAAAAUAAAUAAUUUCAAUUUUU
Molecule: long non-coding RNA, 4519 nt
Organism: Nasonia vitripennis (jewel wasp)
Lineage: Eukaryota; Metazoa; Arthropoda; Insecta; Hymenoptera; Pteromalidae
Exons: 7
Source: RefSeq, a predicted model, not a curated record